CCAGUUUUUUGCGCGCGGCACGUUCGGCGCCUGUUGGAGAUGCUCUUACUUAAAAAAAAAAACUCUCCCUCUCGUCUAACCCUAGCGCCGCCUCUCAUCUCCGGCUGCUCGCCGGUCAUCGCCCCGCCAAACGCAGCCGCACCCCCGUCACCCCCGGCUGCUUCCUUGCCUUCACCGCCGUCCUCGGCCGUAGGACGCCGCCACACUUCCUAUCUGCAUCGUCCUGCUGGCGGAUCGAGGUCACGGCACGGACGACCCAUCAUCUCCGACGGCGGAUCUGGCCGUGGGCGAGGAUGCCGAGCCACCUGCUCCAGUCACGGCCAUCCCGACUCCUCGUCCACCCCCUGCCCCGUCCGGUUCAUUUUGGUUCGUCCUUCAUCCCGUCCACGCCGAUUUUGUUUACCUUAUUACGAUGUCCCACCUCAUCUCGUGCUCCUGACAUGCCGAGGGGGCGAGAGGAGUAAGAGAACAGGGACGAGUGCGCAGAGGAGGAAGAUGCCUGCCGUGAAGCUGCCAAGCGAGAAGACAGAGGAGGAGCGAUACUUGCGGAGGCGGCCGAGAUCGGGUACUACAUCUUCUUAGAUCUUUGCCGUCGUCUAGGUCAGGCCUCCCUCAGAUGCCCUGAUCCUCCAUCAUCAGGGAUGCCCUGCACUCUCCUCUCUAUGUCUGCUAGCGGUGGCGGCUGCCGGAAAUAGAGGGGACCAGUGGCAACGUGGAAUGGUACCCAGGGGCGUUCUGGUACAGCGAGAGAGGAAGCAGAUGAAUGUGCCACAUGUGAGAGGGAGAGGUCUGUAAUGGUAUCUGGUGGUGGCCUCUUGAAAAGAACCCAAGAUUCUCACUAAUAUCCUGUAGCUUGCUGUGUUCUUCGGGCUCUCUCAAACGACAAGAAGAUGAGUUACAGCGAAUUAUACAUCUCACCCCAUUGUUUGUACAAUGGUAUCCACUUUGAGUAGUAGUGUUGUGGGUUGUGGCUAACUGGCUAUGUGGAUUUGUCAGUGAUUUGCUAGCUUUGAUGUGUUUCGGUUGGAUGAAAUGGAGUGUGUUGGUGCAGGUGCGAUGCAUCCGAUUGACUAUAGGAGGACCGAGGACAUGUGGUGAGGCGCUGUGCCCUGUGGCACAACGACAAGGGUGCGCACAAGCUGACCAGCGUCUAGCUCCAUGGCAUCAUCAAUGACAGAACCAGUACAAAUUGGCUUUUUAAAAGAGGAACAAAUGAUCGUCAAUGGUGCACUAAACCAUGAGAGUGUGGCGCCUUCUGUGUUGUGGACUUGGCAUGGGCUGGCUUCUGUUCACUGCUGUGUUCUUGCUGCCAUUCCGCGGUAUAUUGGAGUGUUUCAUCCUAAUAUAUGUCUGGUUACAUGACCACAAAGAGAAAGAAGGGUAUGAUGUAAGCAAACGUGGACACUCAAGAAGAAGCUGAAAAAUCAGUAUUGGAACCCAGCGAGGAAAUCUGAAAGCAUAGACCAUGUUUAAGAACUGGUUGUUUUUGUUGUGCUAUUUUUAAGAAAAAGGAUUGUCUCGAAGGAAAUGAAGCUUACCAACAAGGAAAUUAUGGUGAGGAGCACUCUUCUGCCCCCUUGGUAAUACAGAGAUGCAAUGCAAAGCGAGGAAAUCUGAAAGCAUAGACCAUGUUUAAGAACUGGUUGUUUUUGUUGUGCUAUUUUUAAGAAAAAGGAUUGUCUCGAAGGAAAUGAAGCUUACCAACAAGGAAAUUAUGGUGAGGAGGCACUCUUCUGCCCCCUUGGUAAUACAGAGGUACUCAACUCCAACCCUAUACAAGAAGCGGAAUAUAUCAUACUCUAGAGUUUGGACUUUAGACAUAUUUUAUCCUUUUAUUAUACUCAUGGUCGUUUUGGAAAACAGAUGCAAUGCAAAUGUUAUGUAUUGUGCUUUUGCUUGUUCAAGGGACCUCCUAAUGACACACGAUGGAAACGGAUCCGUGGAUUAAUUCAGAUGGCAUUAAUUGGAGAGAAGGGAUCUAGCUAGGUUUGCAAUGGCAUGUGUACUACCAAAAAGUAACAUCCUCAGGUUCUCUCCUGCAAAUCUAAAGAUCAUGUUCGCAGAGCUAAUAAAUGUAUAUGGAUUAAAAUAAAGAUGAUUUGUAUUCACCGAUAUAUAUGUAUUUCCAUCAAGAAAUAAGUUUGGAAGAGUAGUAAGUACCACGGCAUUUUCUUUCAGAAUGCAAUGGUGUUUAUUUGAUAAUGUGUUUAUAUGACAUGCAUAUGUUGCUUUAAUUUGCUCGUCCGCGAACCCCUCAAAAUUAUCUGACAAUCUGCUUAUACAAACAGCUUUGAGUUUGGUGCACUCUAUUGCUUUGUUAGGCUUGGUGGUGUAUCAGAUUCAGGAGAAUAAUAGUCCCUCUGUCAUCAUAUUUUUGUUUGUGGUAAUGCAUGACAUUCAACUGUAUGUAAUAUGGCAAUGACUCAAGAGACAUCGGAUCUGCCUUCUUGGCUUAGGGCAUCAGGGGUGGCACACACGUCCCACUUGGUGGCGGUGGCAGAUCGGCAAGAACAAGGGUGGGGUUGUAUUAAGGAGGAGAGCGGGGCGGUUGGCGAGGGACUGGCGAGGGACUCCUCCUUGGCGGUCCGUGGGGAAGUAAGGUGAGGUGGGUCUCAUUACUAGAGCCAUAUGACCAAAAAGAUGAUAGGAAAGGCUCUUUCCAAGCAUACAAGCAUAAGGUCAAGUUUAUUUCAUCAUCGAUCCAAAUAUUGUUCCAUAGAAUAAUUGUGUCACCAGCUCUAGGAAUGCAAGUUGUAACCCCUUUGUAUAUGUCCAUGAACGAGAACACAUCGUUCUGUAUAUCUUUCCGUAAAAGAACUGUGCAAAAAUUUCUUAAGCGCAACAACUAGAUAUUAAUUUGUAAUAGAAUUUUAGUUGGAUCAUUGCUCUAUAUGUACACAUCAUUAAUUUAUCAUUUUUUAUCAAUUUA
Molecule: long non-coding RNA, 2929 nt
Organism: Triticum aestivum (bread wheat)
Lineage: Eukaryota; Viridiplantae; Streptophyta; Magnoliopsida; Poales; Poaceae
Exons: 6
Source: RefSeq, a predicted model, not a curated record